UAUACAUGCAGUCGAACGAACUCUGGUAUUGAUUGGUGCUUGCAUCAUGAUUUACAUUUGAGUGAGUGGCGAACUGGUGAGUAACACGUGGGAAACCUGCCCAGAAGCGGGGGAUAACACCUGGAAACAGAUGCUAAUACCGCAUAACAACUUGGACCGCAUGGUCCGAGUUUGAAAGAUGGCUUCGGCUAUCACUUUUGGAUGGUCCCGCGGCGUAUUAGCUAGAUGGUGAGGUAACGGCUCACCAUGGCAAUGAUACGUAGCCGACCUGAGAGGGUAAUCGGCCACAUUGGGACUGAGACACGGCCCAAACUCCUACGGGAGGCAGCAGUAGGGAAUCUUCCACAAUGGACGAAAGUCUGAUGGAGCAACGCCGCGUGAGUGAAGAAGGGUUUCGGCUCGUAAAACUCUGUUGUUAAAGAAGAACAUAUCUGAGAGUAACUGUUCAGGUAUUGACGGUAUUUAACCAGAAAGCCACGGCUAACUACGUGCCAGCAGCCGCGGUAAUACGUAGGUGGCAAGCGUUGUCCGGAUUUAUUGGGCGUAAAGCGAGCGCAGGCGGUUUUUUAAGUCUGAUGUGAAAGCCUUCGGCUCAACCGAAGAAGUGCAUCGGAAACUGGGAAACUUGAGUGCAGAAGAGGACAGUGGAACUCCAUGUGUAGCGGUGAAAUGCGUAGAUAUAUGGAAGAACACCAGUGGCGAAGGCGGCUGUCUGGUCUGUAACUGACGCUGAGGCUCGAAAGUAUGGGUAGCAAACAGGAUUAGAUACCCUGGUAGUCCAUACCGUAAACGAUGAAUGCUAAGUGUUGGAGGGUUUCCGCCCUUCAGUGCUGCAGCUAACGC
This 843-nucleotide ribosomal RNA is filed under the name Lactiplantibacillus plantarum. Its description in RNAcentral is "bacterial SSU rRNA". It matches the Rfam family "Bacterial small subunit ribosomal RNA", at positions 50 to 858 of the family's 1533-position model. Lineage: Bacteria; Bacillati; Bacillota; Bacilli; Lactobacillales; Lactobacillaceae. The record is from RNAcentral.